UGCGCUCGCGCUUCCGGGUCGGGGCUUGGCCCUGUAGAUAGUUCGGGCGAGUCGGACGUUGACUUACUGCGCCCGGUGCUGGGUCAGAAGUGCAACCUUCCUUCAGCGUUCCCAGCCUGCCACGAGUGGACAAUCCGAUGUUGCCCCCCCCUCCGUGCCCAGGGACGCAUUGGGCCCCAGGAGGCGUCCCCGGGGCGCGGAGCAUCAUUUCUGUCCCCUCGCCGUCAGACACUCGUGCCUUGUAAGCGCGCAGUCUGCAGAGUGGAGACCUGCGUGGGAGGCAGGAAGACUUUGGAUGGGGAUGUCCGAGGAGGUUGGGGUGUCACAGUGGGAGAUACGGAACCCACGCACCACAGGAGGCUAUAUUGGGAGUGGUGAGGCUUACGUUGCAGAUGCUAGUGGAAGAAAGGAGAACCAUGCCAGAACAUCCCGUGAGUGUCUGCAAACGAGAGUCACCUGCUGAAGUUAGGAAGUUCAUUAUUGAGCUGGUUCUGGUGUCCGUUGCUAGUAGGAUAUGCUGAAGAGGCAGAAGCAGGAAUAUCAGGAGUUGAGGCCAGCCUGGGUUACACCUUGUGUUGGAGUACCUUCUGCUCUUCCAGAGGAACAAAGUUUGGUUCCCAGAGUCCCUGCGGAGUAUUUCACAACCUCCUAUCACUCCAGGUUCUUCCAGGGAUCUCUGGGAGUACCUGAGUUUGUGUGGCGGACAUUGACCACAUUCAUCCAUUAAAACAAACUAAAACGUG
This 743-nucleotide long non-coding RNA is filed under the name Mus musculus (house mouse). Its description in RNAcentral is "RIKEN cDNA 5830454E08 gene (5830454E08Rik)". Lineage: Eukaryota; Metazoa; Chordata; Mammalia; Rodentia; Muridae. The record is from RNAcentral.